AGAGAUGGGCAAGAAUCUGCAAGAGGUGGCCAGUAUCUACUAGGAAAGAUGUUUCACCAGAAUCAUCCAGCUGAAUAAUGUCUAAUUAUCUUCAGGAAGCUGAGUAGCCAACUCAGGGAGUCAACUUCAGGGCCCAAUCUGUCCAUAUUUUGCUAAUACUCUGUCUUUGUUUUUAAUAUAAAUACUUUUUCUGAGAAGACCUUUAAUCAUGUAUCAUCCCUGACUUCACAUACAGGCAAACUAAAAUACAUAGAAUGUUACAUGUAUGAAUAUGUCCUAUCUAGCUUUGUGAAUUCAAGUCUUCUAUCUACGUCCAGUUGGAUGUCUAAAAACAAAAGGGAAGAAUGGAUGCUGUGACCCAAAAAAAGGGGAAGCAGUAAUUAUGAUGAGAAGUAACUAAAGAAGCAAGCAUUUGAGGCAUAAACUCAAAAAGUCAAUGUGGAAGACCGGAAGUGGGACUGGCUCACAGAUGAGACUACGUAGCUGAAAUGACAGAGUGGUUUCCUGAAUCAUGGCUUUGGAGGUCUUAGGUUCCAGGACAGCAAACUCAACACAAAUGCAAGCCAGGCAAGGAUGUUGGAUUGUGUAAACAAAAGGGCCAAGACGACCAAAGACCAGCAGAAUUCCAUGGAAAGUUGAUUUCAAAUACAUUCAUCUCAGAGCAGGGCUAGGAAUACUGUGAGCAUGGUGAUUUAUCAUCAACUCACCCCUAAGUGUUUGGAAGCUAAAUUACAUACAAGAAAAAACAAAAACAGCUGGUGUGAUGCCUACUGCCUGUAAAAGGAAAAGGCAGCUCUGCAGAAGACUGGGUAUGACGAGAGCUCUCUAGAUGAAGGGCUGCAGCUGGGCUUCAGACACACCUCUCCAGGACACAACACAAUAGAACCAACAAUCUUAGAGAAGAGGUCUUCAGAGUCAAGCAGCAAAGGCAUGUUUGUCUUUUCCAAAAUUGGUAGUGAAAGUGCCAAGACGUGGGAGUGAAGGCCAUGAAGGGAGAGCUACAGUCACAAGAACACACUGGAACCAACACCUCAGCUCCUGGGAAGUCAGAAAUAAAUGACUAAUCGC
Long non-coding RNA from Mesocricetus auratus (golden hamster), 1068 nucleotides. RefSeq lists it as uncharacterized. The record is from RefSeq and is a predicted model, not a curated record. Lineage: Eukaryota; Metazoa; Chordata; Mammalia; Rodentia; Cricetidae. The transcript has 4 exons.